Molecule: long non-coding RNA, 859 nt
Organism: Nicotiana attenuata
Lineage: Eukaryota; Viridiplantae; Streptophyta; Magnoliopsida; Solanales; Solanaceae
Exons: 2
Source: RefSeq, a predicted model, not a curated record
ACAGUAGGUUCCUCUAUGGUGACGGUUAUCUGAAAAAAGAAGCUAUUUGGACGCUUCUUAUUUUCCCUCCUCCAAUUUAAUGAACCCGCCACAUCUCUUAUUUUUAUUAUUUUUUAAAACCUAAAAUAAUAUGUGAUCCCACUACAUCGACUAAAACCCCUAUUUCAUUUUGGUCUCAUCUCCUUCUUUCACAUAGCUAGCUCUAAUUAGAGAACCCACUGAGAAAUCCCACACAACUCUGGCCGGCGUGAGGGUUUAUUUUGCAGGUUUCCCCUUCUGGAUAUUCUAGUUAAUGGAUAAUGGAGAUAAAAGUUGGAUGGGUCUCCGAAGAUCAACGGAGGAGUACAUCCGUGGAGUGAACAAUUUUUUUGACAAGGCAUUUGAACGGGCUGCCCAAGGAAAUGAAAUAUUAUGCCCUUGCAAAAAAUACGUUAACUGUUAUUGGCAUUAUAGAAAUGUAGUGGAGGAUCACUUGGUUGCUUAUGGGUUUGUUACUGGAUACACCAAAUGGGUUUUUCAUGGGGAAAGCUUUUCCUCAAGAAAUACUCUACGGUCAAGCAAUGAUGAGGAUGAUUCUAACAUGCAUGACGAUAUUGAUGGACUACUUUAUGAUACUUUUCGAAAUGCAGAGGGUGACUUGAGAUGUGAAGAAGAAGUGAGAGAGAGACCAUCUGAAGAUGCAAAGAAAUUUUUUAAAUUACUGGAGGAAGGGAAGGAAGAGUUAUACCCGGGGUGUGAGAAUUUCUCUAAAUUAAGUUUCGUCAUUCGAUUGUAACUUGUUUAAAUGCAUUCAUGGAUUGAAUAAUGUGGCCUUUUCAGACUUGUUAGUCUUGUUAAAAGAGGCAUUUCCAUUUGCUCA